UAUUAAGCAUUGAAAUGAAGUAGUAAUGCUAAAUUUCUUAGUUAAGAGAACUGUUGGUUGGUGUAAAACAGUAAGGAAUAGCAUGAACUUAUCAUGGAGCUUGCUAAUUUAAAAAAUUAGCACGGUAAAAGCCGUUAUUUUGUAAGUGAAGUAUGAUUAUACUUAACUAGAGUGGUACCGCGGAAGUAUAGCUUUCGUCUCUAAA
RNAcentral lists this non-coding RNA (205 nucleotides) under Clostridium bornimense. Its description in RNAcentral is "T-box sequence". It matches the Rfam family "T-box leader". Rfam says of the family: Uncharged tRNA acts as the effector for transcription antitermination of genes in the T-box leader family. The record is from RNAcentral. Lineage: Bacteria; Bacillati; Bacillota; Clostridia; Eubacteriales; Clostridiaceae.